AGAGAUGCACUGGGUAUAAAGCGUGCGCAGGCGGUUUUGUUAGACAGAGGUGAAAUCCCCGGGCUCAACCUGGGAACUGCCUUUGUGACUGCAAGGCUGGAGUGCGGCAGAGGGGGAUGGAAUUCCGCGUGUAGCAGUGAAAUGCGUAGAUAUGCGGAGGAACACCGAUGGCGAAGGCAAUACCCCUGGGCCUGCACUGACGCUCAUACACGAAAGCGUGGGGAGCAAACA
This 231-nucleotide ribosomal RNA is filed under the name uncultured Alicycliphilus sp. RNAcentral's name for it is "partial 16S ribosomal RNA". It matches the Rfam family "Bacterial small subunit ribosomal RNA", at positions 548 to 774 of the family's 1533-position model. Lineage: Bacteria; Pseudomonadati; Pseudomonadota; Betaproteobacteria; Burkholderiales; Comamonadaceae. The record is from RNAcentral.